UGAACUUGCUUCACAGCUUCGUUCAAGACCAUAACAACUCUUACCUACAGGCUUUGAGUUACAAAUAAUCUCAUGCUUUGAGCACUGAGAAACACAUGGUAACCUUCCCACAGGUUAGGAGGUUUACCGCACAUACACCCCUAAUUUUACAUGGUUUGAGGCUUAUGAAACCUAGGUUACAAUCUGCUAUUUAUAACCUAAACACCCAACUGGAUUUGGGCCUUCAGAAAUCGCAGCAAACUUC
RNAcentral lists this long non-coding RNA (244 nucleotides) under Lathyrus oleraceus (garden pea). RNAcentral's name for it is "Pisum sativum (pea) long non-coding RNA (PSAT_LNC032909)". The record is from RNAcentral. Lineage: Eukaryota; Viridiplantae; Streptophyta; Magnoliopsida; Fabales; Fabaceae.